Molecule: ribosomal RNA, 1540 nt
Filed under: Klebsiella variicola
Lineage: Bacteria; Pseudomonadati; Pseudomonadota; Gammaproteobacteria; Enterobacterales; Enterobacteriaceae
Also listed under: 1 other name
Description: bacterial SSU rRNA
Rfam family: Bacterial small subunit ribosomal RNA
Source: RNAcentral
AAAUUGAAGAGUUUGAUCAUGGCUCAGAUUGAACGCUGGCGGCAGGCCUAACACAUGCAAGUCGAGCGGUAGCACAGAGAGCUUGCUCUCGGGUGACGAGCGGCGGACGGGUGAGUAAUGUCUGGGAAACUGCCUGAUGGAGGGGGAUAACUACUGGAAACGGUAGCUAAUACCGCAUAACGUCGCAAGACCAAAGUGGGGGACCUUCGGGCCUCAUGCCAUCAGAUGUGCCCAGAUGGGAUUAGCUAGUAGGUGGGGUAACGGCUCACCUAGGCGACGAUCCCUAGCUGGUCUGAGAGGAUGACCAGCCACACUGGAACUGAGACACGGUCCAGACUCCUACGGGAGGCAGCAGUGGGGAAUAUUGCACAAUGGGCGCAAGCCUGAUGCAGCCAUGCCGCGUGUGUGAAGAAGGCCUUCGGGUUGUAAAGCACUUUCAGCGGGGAGGAAGGCGGUGAGGUUAAUAACCUCAUCGAUUGACGUUACCCGCAGAAGAAGCACCGGCUAACUCCGUGCCAGCAGCCGCGGUAAUACGGAGGGUGCAAGCGUUAAUCGGAAUUACUGGGCGUAAAGCGCACGCAGGCGGUCUGUCAAGUCGGAUGUGAAAUCCCCGGGCUCAACCUGGGAACUGCAUUCGAAACUGGCAGGCUAGAGUCUUGUAGAGGGGGGUAGAAUUCCAGGUGUAGCGGUGAAAUGCGUAGAGAUCUGGAGGAAUACCGGUGGCGAAGGCGGCCCCCUGGACAAAGACUGACGCUCAGGUGCGAAAGCGUGGGGAGCAAACAGGAUUAGAUACCCUGGUAGUCCACGCUGUAAACGAUGUCGAUUUGGAGGUUGUGCCCUUGAGGCGUGGCUUCCGGAGCUAACGCGUUAAAUCGACCGCCUGGGGAGUACGGCCGCAAGGUUAAAACUCAAAUGAAUUGACGGGGGCCCGCACAAGCGGUGGAGCAUGUGGUUUAAUUCGAUGCAACGCGAAGAACCUUACCUGGUCUUGACAUCCACAGAACUUUCCAGAGAUGGAUUGGUGCCUUCGGGAACUGUGAGACAGGUGCUGCAUGGCUGUCGUCAGCUCGUGUUGUGAAAUGUUGGGUUAAGUCCCGCAACGAGCGCAACCCUUAUCCUUUGUUGCCAGCGGUCCGGCCGGGAACUCAAAGGAGACUGCCAGUGAUAAACUGGAGGAAGGUAGGGAUGACGUCAAGUCAUCAUGGCCCUUACGACCAGGGCUACACACGUGCUACAAUGGCAUAUACAAAGAGAAGCGACCUCGCGAGAGCAAGCGGACCUCAUAAAGUAUGUCGUAGUCCGGAUUGGAGUCUGCAACUCGACUCCAUGAAGUCGGAAUCGCUAGUAAUCGUAGAUCAGAAUGCUACGGUGAAUACGUUCCCGGGCCUUGUACACACCGCCCGUCACACCAUGGGAGUGGGUUGCAAAAGAAGUAGGUAGCUUAACCUUCGGGAGGGCGCUUACCACUUUGUGAUUCAUGACUGGGGUGAAGUCGUAACAAGGUAACCGUAGGGGAACCUGCGGUUGGAUCACCUCCUUA